This 291-nucleotide ribosomal RNA is filed under the name Nematoda environmental sample. RNAcentral describes it as "partial 18S rRNA". It matches the Rfam family "Eukaryotic small subunit ribosomal RNA", at positions 1020 to 1312 of the family's 1831-position model. Lineage: Eukaryota; Metazoa; Nematoda. The record is from RNAcentral.
CUAGUUCUGACCGUAAACGAUGCCAACUAGCGAUCCGCCGGUGGCUACCAGGCCCUGGUGGGGAGCUUCCCGGAAACGAAAGUCUUCCGGUUCCGGGGGAAGUAUGGUUGCAAAGCUGAAACUUAAAGGAAUUGACGGAAGGGCACCACCAGGAGUGGAGCCUGCGGCUUAAUUUGACUCAACACGGGAAAACUCACCCGGCCCGGACACCGUAAGGAUUGACAGAUUGAUAGCUUUUUCAUGAUUCGGUGGUUGGUGGUGCAUGGCCGUUCUUAGUUCGUGGAUCGAUUU